AUUGAACGCUGGCGGCAUGCUUUACACAUGCAAGUCGAACGGCAGCACGGGGGCAACCCUGGUGGCGAGUGGCGAACGGGUGAGUAACACAUCGGAACGUGUCCAGUUGUGGGGGAUAACCCAUCGAAAGGUGGGCUAAUACCGCAUGAGCUGGCAACAGGAAAGCGGGGGACCCGCAAGGGCCUUGUGCGAUUGGAGCGGCCGAUGUCCGAUUAGCUAGUUGGUGGGGUAAAGGCCUACCAAGGCUUCGAUCGGUAGCUGGUCUGAGAGGAUGAUCAGCCACACUGGGACUGAGACACGGCCCAGACUCCUACGGGAGGCAGCAGUGGGGAA
RNAcentral lists this ribosomal RNA (333 nucleotides) under uncultured bacterium. Its description in RNAcentral is "bacterial SSU rRNA". It matches the Rfam family "Bacterial small subunit ribosomal RNA", at positions 29 to 361 of the family's 1533-position model. The record is from RNAcentral.